This is a non-coding RNA of Podarcis lilfordi (Lilford's wall lizard), 12749 nucleotides long. NCBI's taxonomy places the organism in Eukaryota, Metazoa, Chordata, Lepidosauria, Squamata, Lacertidae. The record is from the annotation of a GenBank genome assembly.
UUCCCACCUUCUGUAGUUCCUAUUCCAUUCAUGCAGGACAAAUCAAGCCCAUGAGGCGGGAAAAGGGUAGGAGGUUAACAUUAAAGGCAAGCGACAAGGAAUCUCUUUCUUGUGGUUCGCAUAGCACUGCUUUUAUAUUUGCUUCUAGUGGACAUUUUUUAAAUUCCUCAUUGCUGAAAAGGCUGAGUUUUCUUUUCUAGACUGUAUUAGAGGAGGGCAGGGACGACGACCAAUUCCCCCCCACACACACACACACUCCUAAAUUAAAAGAAAAAUAGGGUUUCCCAGCUUGGACUCGUGUGCAUUUAAUAACUGCGGGGGGGGGGGGCGUGGAUUAAGAAUAUAUUAUAUAUACACACACAGUGGUUUUUUCUGGGGGGAUGCAGGGGUACACAUGCCCCUAAACAGUUUGUGAAUUUAACUGCCUCAUUGAGGAGCAGUAUUUCAAUAUGAGUAGGAAAAUGAGAGUACCCCAAAAUGUUUUUUAAGAAAAAAAAGCACUGUGUGUCUGUGUUUCAAAAUCCACAUUACCUUUAGAGGGCCAGCCAAAAUGUCCCCAAAUAGUGAGCAAGCUCCAGAACUCUUCACCAUACUGGAUGUUAAUCAAAAUGGGGCAGGGUGGUUUAAUGUUGAAGCCGCAUAAACCCGGUUCACAAGUAAUGGUAAGCCAAACAUUUACUGUGGACACGGCACUCCUGCUGCACUGCUGUGAGCUAAGCCAUUAUUAUUAUAUUUAUAUACUGCCCUUCCUCUAAAGCAGGCAUGUCCAACUCCCAAGAGACUGCGAUCUACUCCCACUAUAAAAAAACUGGCAGUGGUCUACCCAUUGGAUUGACCAAAGUUUUGGGGAGGAACAGUGGCGUAGGAAGGGGGGGCGGAGGGGGCGGGCCGCCCCGGGUGGCACUCUGUGAGGGGUGACAGGAUGGCACCUGCCUCCCCCCCAGCUGUAGAGUGGCUGAGGGUGCCCGCAGUCUGUAUGGGCACCACGCACGUGGUGUCCAUACAUGCAUCCAUACAGGCUGUCACUUGUACGGCAGUCUGUACAGUCGCUGUGCAAGCGGCAGCCUGUAUGGCCGCCACGUGCAAGCGGCAGCCCAUACAGACUGGGCAUGUCCGGCAUUCCGUUCAGACUGCGCCGCCCCGGGUGCCAGUAUGGGUUCCUCCGCCACUGGGGAGGAAGACCCAAAGUAGUUGAGCUUUUUUUUGCUUCUUGCUUUUCUUUUAAUCAACCCGGGACACCCCACAAUUGACUGGUAGAUCGCAAUCUGCGGGUUGGACAUGCCUGCUCUAAAGAUCUCAGGGUGGUUCACAAGAAAAUAAUAAUUUUGUUGAUCAAUGUGGGGUAUAAAAAAAUAAAAGAUGCCCAAUUGCCUAACAAUUUGAGCAACUUAUAGGGAUGUGGAAUUCUAGUGCAAACUAAUAGAAAAUAAACUAUCCAUAUGUGGAUUUUCAUUUUCAAAAACAACCCAUAAUUGUUUUUUUAAAGCAAAAUAUAGCACAUACAAACAAAGCACACAUGGUUUGGGCUUAGCAUGUCAUCCGAACCUGGGCUCGUGGUUGUACCCAAGGUUUGGUCUUGGGUUUAGGGCUCACGAUUUGUCCGGCAGAGACAAUUCACAAGCCGGGGUUUGGAUAACACACUUAGCCAGCAGCACAGCAACAGGACUGAGGAAGAGCUUCUCAGUGUGAGUUUAAAAAAUGACCUAUCCAAAUAGUGAGAUGGUUCUCAUUACCCCUUUUGUUUCAAUCUUCUCAACAGUGAGUCCUCAUUUUGUGGCUACUCAGCACCUCAUUGGGAUGUGUUUGAGUUCCCACCCACCUGCAAGAGUUUUUGUACUUCUGGAACAUGUGCAGAGGAGGGCAACCAAGAUGAUCAAGGGUCUGGAAACCAAGCCUUAUGAGAAGCAGUUGAAGGAGCUGGGUAUGUUUAGCCUGGAAGAAAGCAGACUGAGAGGAGAUAUUAUUUUUAUUAGUCCACAGUUCCAUGAUUUAAAAAGAAAGGAAAGAAAGAAAGAUGUAAGUUCCUUAUCAAGAAAAGAGUGGUUAUGACAGCUUUUUCCCACUCCCUACUGCUCACAGUAAUGAGCUAAUCAUAGUCCUAGAGCUCAGUAAUGUUAGUGUCUGUAAAACUGCCUGCUUUAAUUUUACCUUUUGUUCUACCCAUCUGCUUUCAUUCAUUUCUUAAUCCAUUGAAAUUUCAAAACGUUUUGCGUAGUUGAAACUGCAGCACACAGUGCCUCCUUACUACACACACGACCCCACGCAAACCUAUGUAUAGUCCCAAAUUAUUCCGGUUAAACAUGUCUGGCAUUCAUUGCAGAUAUGCUCACAAAACACCAGGUGCAUAAAAAUAAAUAAGGGGGAUGUUAACGGCAAUAAUUGGUGUUUAAUAAGCAAUAGGAGUGGGAAAAGGCUUUGUAGUAGCGUAACUGGGGCAAAGAUGGAAUGAGUACAUAGCUGUCAACUUACAGAUUUGAAAAUAAGGGACCAGCAGCCUUGAAAAUAAGGGAUCAGCAGCCAAAAUAAGGGAUUUUGCUAUUGUAAAGAGUUACAUACAUUGGCAGGAUUGACAGAUGCUGUCAAUCCGGCAUGAGGCGGUUGCACCGCUGAAGCACCGCCCUUCUAUGUCCCUCCCCAUCCCCUCCUCUUCCUCCUCCCUCAGGCCACCUCCUCAGCUGUCACCAUUGCUGCCGCCUCCGGGCUCGCGGGCAGCGUGGGCGAGAGUCUCGCUCCCUCCCCCCCCUCUCGGGUGGGGAAUUCCUCGCGCCAGGAUGACGGCGCCAGCGCGCGCCUUCUCUCGCAGCGGAGGACCCCGAGCCGCUGCUUCCCUCCUGAGCUGGGUGACCUGGGAAAUUUAAGGGACAUCAUCAAUAAGGGACAGCAGCGGGACACGGUGCUGGGAUAAGGGAGUUUCCCGCCAAAUAAGGGACAGCUGACAGCUAUGAAUGAGUAUAUACCCAAGAUUUAUAAUGGGCACGCCCCCCCCCCGUGACACAUGGAUGGGGUCACAUUGCCAAUGACAAGCAGUACACUCCAACUGAGAAGAAAAGAGGGGCCUGAAAUUUGCACCCAACCCUUGGGCCUUUUCUUACGAAGGUACUACACGGACAGGGUCAGGGAUGCAAACAUUCUUUGUCUCGUAUAGGAAUUAUUACAAUAAUAUUAUAUAUGUAGUACAAUAAUAUUAUAUUACAUAUGUUUUCAGAGUUGUAGGUAGAAGUCCAGACAUAACGGUUGCUUAGGAAAACUUAGUGAGCGCAAUAGGCCAAGUGGUUUUGGUAGGGGAAGGAGAGAUUCAGAGGCAAAUGGCAUUGGUAAGCAUUUUGUGAUAGACCAACAGCACCCUGCAGGGGUUUUGUACCGUAGCCUCUGAGCUGAAUUAAGGUUCUUCCAGAUGGAGGUUUAUUAUGGAAUUGGUGCUGCUCUUGCACACGUUUUUGCACCAUCUGCAGGAGGCUGUCGUCAUCAAAAUGCGAGCCUCUGCUUUUUACAUUAAAUCCGGAUUUUCUCUUACCCUGGAAAAUCCAUUAAGUGAACAUAAUCCUUUAUGCAUCUGCAGUGGAAACUUGUUAGCACUUUUAUUUUAUUUUUGGGGGUGAACAGUUUGCCAUGUGUGUCAUUUGUAUGCACACGGUGCAAUUUCAGGUGAGAGGAGCCAUUCAUUCAAAGCCUCAACACAUGCAGAGUACAUACUUUGGAACUUUAUAUGGGUCUUGUGCAAGUUCUCUGUAUGAUAAUUUCAGUAUCUUAAAAAUAUAAAUCAGUAUUGCAAAAGAACUCUGUAUUAGUAUUAAAAAGCAAAUGGAAAUGGAUGUUGCCUCCCUCUCCCCCACCCCCAAAGCAUAAGCCUCCAUUGGACCUGUUGUGAAACUUUAUAACUAAGGACAGCUAACAUUUGCUGACCUUAAAUAUUAUUAUUAUUAUUAUUAUACUUUAUGUAGGAUUUUUUAAAUGUUAAAUGUGUAUAAAUACCUAUGCAUCUGCUCCAAGUAGGAAGAGGUUUUUUAUUUUAUACACACACACACACACACACACACACACACACACAUAUACUACCAUCAGGGCAUUUCAAAGAAUAAAAUACAAGCUAGAAACAAGUACUGUAAAUAAUUAAAACAAAACAGCAAAACAAUGCCCCCCUUUCCACAGACACAUUUAAAAAACGUACAAUCUUAAUACAGUGGUACCUCAGGUUACAUACGCUUCAGGUUACAUACACUUCAGGUUACAUACACUUCAGGUUACAGACUCCGCUAACCCAGAAAUAGUGCUUCAGGUUAAGAACUUUGCUUCAAGAUGAGAACAGAAAUCGUGCUCCAGCGGCGCGGCGGCAGCAGGAAGCCCCAUUAGCUAAAGUGGUGCUUCAGGUUAAAAACAGUUUCAGGUUAAGUACGGACCUCCGGAACGAAUUAAGUACUUAACCCGAGGUACCACUGUAAGCCCAAGGCCUGGUUGAAGAGGAACAUUUUUGCUUGGCGCCUAAAAAUACAUAAAGAAGGCACCAGAUGAACCUCCCUGGGGAGAGCACUCCACAAACGGGGAGCCACUACAGAAAAGGCCCAUUUUCGUGUUGCCACCCUCCGGAGGAGACACACAGAGAAGGGCCUCAGAGGAUGAAUGCAGAGUUGGGGAAGGUUUAUACAGGGAGAGCCAGUCCUUGAGUUAUUGCGGUCCUGAGCCUUUUAAGGCAUUAUAGGUCAAAACCAACACUUUGAAUUGGGCCCAGUAGCUAAUUGGGUAGUAGAGGCUGGCGGAAGGUCUAGAACACACAGCACCGAAACAUGUCACAAAGGACUGAGAUAUGGGUGAGAAUCAGUGGUAUAGCUAUGAAAAACAUUAGAUUUAAUCUGCAUACACAGAAAAGUCAGAUCCAGAUGACACAUUUGUGAGAUAGCACCACCAUCUGAAACAACCCUUACUACAGAACAAUGAGAAAUUCAAAUUCUGCCGCAGUACCAUUAAAGGAACACGAGCAUUCUUGAUCCACCCCAAAGUAGCAACUCAUGCUUUGCAUAUGUAUUUUACUUCCUUACCUAUCACAUGUGUAUGAUCAGGCACAUGUAACAGGUAAACCAAUGAGAAAUUUGCCAAUGAGAACCUAGAAAUAACUCUGGCCCUGGAGCUGCGGGGCAUUGGAACCAUUUAUUUUGCCCAUUGUGUUCAAGGCUAAUCAUUGCUACUAGAAAUUGGACCGUUAAAGCUUAUUUCAGCAGUUGCUCUGGUUUCUUGCACGAUGCUAUAAGGAGAACACCCCAAUAAGCAUGUCACAAAACAGCAAUAUAAAAGAAAGCACCGUGGGUUUGCAUUAAAUCCAGAAAGCCAUCUUGUUCCCGAAUAGAAAAAAGCAAGGAUUGAAUAGAUCCUAGUUCUAUUUUAAGUUUCACUACUGGUGCGUUUGCCCUGUAGCCCUCAUUGUAGAGCAUCUCCAGGUCUGUGUCAUGACGUCAGAGAUGACAAUUGAUGGAGAUUGGUGUCAAGGCCACUUUUCUCUAUUGCAUCUUUCUAGCCAAGUACAAUCACUGAAGAGUGGGGGGGGGGGGGCGGGAAUUGUAUUGUGAUAGCAUGCCAUCAAUAUUCCAGCUGCGCUCUUUGUCAGGCCUUCCAGGGUAAAAGAUAGGAUGAAGACUGAAUGAUGGAAAACAAGUUUCCACCAUCCUUUCAAUGUAGGGAGAUUGCGGGGGGUGCUGAGCGGAUAAAAUACCGUAUUUUUUGCUCUGUAUGACACACUUUUUCCCUCCUAAAAAGUAAGGGGAAAUGUUUGUGCGUCUUAUGGAGCGAAUGCAGGCUGUGCGGCUAAGCCAGAAGCCAGAACAGGGAGAGGGAGUGCUGCGCAGCGCUCCAGCUCGCUGUUCUAGCUUCGGGCUUAGCUGCGCAAACCCUCCGCAGGGCAGCGGGGUGUCUUCAUCCCGCUGCCCUCCAGAGGCUUCGCGGGCUGUCCCAGAAGCCUCCGCAGGGCACGGGGAUGAAGGCACAAAGCUAGACCAGCUAGAGGGAGCGCUGGGCAGCGCUCCCUCUAGCUAUUCUGUCUUUUGGAUAGCCCCUGCGAAGCCUCCAUAGGGCAGCGAGAUGAAGGCUCCCCGUUGUCCUGUGGUGGGAAGUGGGGGGAAGGGACAGAGCGCGUGACUCUGUUCCUUCCCCCACCUCCCAGAAAAGCCCCCAAGAGCCGCGCUCCCUUUAAAGAGUGUGUGGUUGUUGCAGGAGAUGGGGGAAGGUACAGAGGGCAGUUUACCCGCGCGCAGCCUCUUCCGGGCAGGGGGAGCCUUCAUCCCUCUUGCUGUUCUGGCUUCUGGGAUUCAGAUUUUUUUUUCUUGUUUCCUCCCCCCCAAAACUAGGUGCGUCUUAUCGUCUGGUGCGUCCUAUAGAGCGAAAAAUACGGGUAGGCAUUCUUCGCAACAAAGGAUUUCCCCAGCUCCACUUUACCUACGUACUCCACAAUCCUUGGGUUGUAAGUUUAGGAUAGCCAAGUAUCUGCUGUCCAUAUGAAUGUGACCUUCCUGUUGCAACACGAUGUUAUCUGGAUUGCACCACUAUUUUUCUCCAGAGCCUUGAGAUAUGUUUCGCACUUUUUAACUAAGCUCAUAUAUGCAAGUGUCUUACAGAUCUCACAAGAAGCAUAGCAGGAAAAUAGAAACAGAGCAGUGAGCUUUGAGGGCAGGAUUCUAAAAUAUAUGCCGGCGCUUAACUUAUGAGUUGGCAGAACAACACGGAGGUGGAUUGUGGAGGGUGCUCAAGUGCUCUAGCACGUACAACCCACAUGGAGAUUGCAUCCAGGAGUUAGCAUAAAGGAAGACGCUUAUUUACACGCCAUACAGGGCUUGGGAGGAGGAGAAGUCACAGCAUGAAGCAGGAUGUAUUUGAACAAGCAAUGAAAUGUGUUGUAGCAGUCAGUCCUCCAUCAGCAGCAGCCUGAAAUGUACAGUCUAGGUGUGAGUGCAAGAUGUAAGGCUAAAGACAUUGUGCAAAACCACAGUUACCUAGCUGGGGGUGCAGUGGGAAUCUUAAACUAAGUUAAUAUUAAUCUACAAAGAUGAAUGUACAAGACAGACAAGCCCCACUGCCAAAUGAGGCCCCGGGGCUUGCUCAAACCUUUAAUUAUUUUUUUAAGGAAGUUUAUUACUUUUAACCCCACCUUUCUACAGAUUCCCAGCGAAACUAACAAAAAGUUACAAUGCCAAUAAAAAUGAAAUCUCGUAAGACUGACAAAUACUGGCCUGCAUAUAAUUACUCAAAACUGGCAAUCACAUGGGUCUUAAGACAGAAAGAAACUAAGAACUUGCUGGAUGAGGCUAAUGGUACAUUUGACUGGCAUUCCGUUCUCACAGAGACCAACCAGUGUUAUGACUCAUUUAGUUACAGUAUAAGCUAAACAAGCUUACCGUAUUUUUCGCUCUAUAAGACGCACCAGACCACAAGACGCACCUAGUUUUUGGAGGAGGAAAACAAGAAAAAAAGUAUUCUGAAUCUCAGAAGCCAGAACAGCAAGAGGGAUCGCUGCGCAGUGAAAGCAGCAAUCCCUCUUGCUGUUCUGGCUUCUGGGAUAGCUGCGCAGCCUGCAUUCGCUCCAUAAGACGCACACACAUUUCCCCUUACUUUUUAGGAGGGAAAUUGAGUCUUAUAGAGCAAAAAAUACGGUAUAUUAAUUUAAAAAAAUUAAAGGAAAAAAACUGGAUGUACAUUUCCAAAAUAUAAGAUAAAAAACAAAUAAAAUAAAACCUACAUACAGCAACAGUGUUUUGUGUUGUGUAGGCUCCUAUGAUGUAAGUAAUGGGCCCCACCUGCUAGCCUGCUCCCUAAAAUAUCGCUGGUUUGCUCAUUUCUAUACAGUGGUGCCCCGCAAGACGAAUGCCUCGCAAGACGAAAAACUCGCUAGACGAAAGAGUUUUCCGUUUUUUGAGUCGUUCUGCAAGACGAAUUUCCCUAUGGACUUGCUUCGCAAGACGAAACGUCUUGCGAGUUCUUGCGAGUUUGUUUCCUUUUUCUUAAAGCCGCUAAGCCGUUAAUAGCCGCUAAGCCGCUAAUAGCCAUGCUUCGCAAGACGAAAAAACCGCAAGACAAAGAGACUCACGGAACGGAUUAAUUUUGUCUUGCGAGGCACCACUGUAUAUAGGGUGCCUACAUUCUGCAUGUGCAUAUGGCUUUAGAUACCUAUUAGGUCCAUAAAUUACCAUAUAGCAUAUAUUCAACACAGAAAACAGGGACAAUUUGUUGCUGACAAAGGACAGCUGGACAUAUAAAGGGCCCCAUUCCCUUCAGUAGCUUAGGGCCUCAUCAAACCUAAAUCCGGCCCUGGCCAGGAUAGCCCUUUCUUUAGCUCAGCUGAUUUGAGUGUGGUGCUAAUAAUGCCAAGGUUGCAGUUUCGAUCCCCGUAUAUAGGACAGCUGCAUAUUCCUGCAUUUCAGGGGGUUGGACUAGAUGAUCCUUGGGGUCCCUUCCAACUAUCGAAUUCUAUGUUUCUCUGCUUCUUAUUAGCUGCCUGCAAGUGUUGUCCUCCAAGCCACCAUCAUCCUGUGAAGGAAGAGAUCAAGGCACGCCUGAUGACACCAUCCUAGAGGGCCUGGACCUCCCGAACCACCCAUAUUUUGAGAGCUUGCUCUGUACUUACAGGCUGUGCCCCUACCCUAUGAUUUAGAACCCUGGAUCGCACAGUUUUGAAAGAUAGCAACUAGGGAGAACAGUGCUGAGCUAAUGACCUAAUUAAACAAACGAAUGCGGCACAAAAAUGGAAGCAAGAAAGAAUUACCGACGAAAGAAGAAUGGCAAAUGAAAUUAAUGGACUAUGCAGAAUUAGAUAAACUAACAGGAAGGAUUCGAAACCUGCAGGCUCAGAGAUUCUUAGAGGACUGGAGUAAAUAUUUGAACUAUUUGAAAAGCAAUUGUAAUAAACAGAUUGCGCUAGUAGGACUGCAAGGAGUUCUGUAAGGAGGAUUUUGUGAAAUAUUGCAAGGAAGACUUUGAAAAGAAUGAUUAGUUAAGGGCAAUUAAAAGGAAUAGAGAAAUUAAGAAAUGUAGAACAAGUGAUAAAGAACGGAAAAUCAGAGGUUGUUGACGGAAGUCUAAAAUAUUGUAUAAGAUAAGAAGUUAUGUUAAAUGAUUGUUGGAAGUGAUAUGUUAAAAAAUCUAUCUAUCUAUCUACAGUGGUACCUUGGGUUGCAUAUGCUUCAGGUUACAUACACUUCAGGUUACAGACUCCGCUAACCCAGAAAUAUUACCUCAGGAUAAGAACUUUGCUUCAGGAUGAGAACAGAAAUCGUGCAACGGCGGCACAGUGGCAGCAGGAGACCCCAUUAGCUAAAGUGGUGCUUCAGGUUAAGAACAGUUUCAGGUUAAGAACAGACCUCCAGAACGAAUUAAGUUCUUAACCCGAGGUACCACUGUAUAACAAACAAAUGCAUCCAUCUAUGACUCAAAGUAACGAUGGCCAAUGCAGUUUAAAUACGCCUUCCGAUUGCCUAGGGCAGAAAGUGGGCAACUAUUUCUCUAUCAUUGGACUGCUGUGUGAGUAAUAAACGUAUUUUAAAAGCCCCUGAAAUCUACAGAGUUUUUCUCGUCGUGAAAUUUCAGCCCUGGGAGCUGGCAUCGUUGCGCUGAGCAGGUUCAGAACCACUAGGAACAGCAUCUACGCUUUGCGGAGGGAUUUGAUCUUGAGGACUCACAGAGUGAAGAGAGAUGUAAAAAAGUUGUUGCUGCUGCUUUAGAGAGAGUUCAGAGCACGCACGCACCCAGUCAUGGGUUGAGCCCACUUUUAGGAGUAAGUACACAUUUAGCAACUCAGGCUGCCUUGACUUCCCCUUUUCUCUCAUGCUCAGGGCAGAAAAUAUAACUGGCUGUCAGCCUUUUCUUAAAAACAAAAAAGAAACAACAACAACUUCACAAUCAGACCAAGAAAUAUUGGUGCCUAAGGCAGAAAAGCCACAUGGUGUCUCUCACCCAAGGUAGAGAAUGUAAUAAUAAACUAAAUAAUUGACAGCUGGCUGUUCUUGAAUGGUACCUCACUAUUGCUGUAGCCUCAGGCAUCCUGCAUCCUCCAGCCUAAUGGCAGCGUCCAGCCUUGGCAUUACUAGUGCAAAUACCUCAUUAAAAUAUAACAGCAUGCAUUUCUUCAAACUUCACGCGUUUCAAAAAAAAGGCUUAAUUUUUUUUAAAAAAAGAUCUCUGAAGCUUCUUUUGUUUAGUACUGCAGUUUAACUCGAAUAUCUGAGCGCCUUUGCAGUGCGGUUUUCAAAUACAGUGGUACCUUGGUUCUCAAACUUAAUCCGUUCCGGAAGUCCGUUCCAAAACCCAGGUGCACUUUCCCAAAGAAAGCAAUGCUAAACAGAUUAAUCCGUUCCAGACUUUUAAAAACAACCCCUAAAAAAGCAAUUUAACAUGAAUUUUACUAUCUAACGAGCCCGUUGAUCCAUAAAAUGAAAGCAAUAAUCAAUGUACUGUACUAUAAAAUAAAUAAGACGGUAUUGUAGAUGAUAAAAAUUAAAAUUAUUUUCCCCCCUUACCUGCACUGAUGAUAGUCAUUGUUUGUAUGGGGGGCUCUUAUCCAUUUCCACAGUCACACAGUCAAUCAGUAGCUGAACUAGGUUCCACACAGUCACAAAAACAAAUUAACCAAAAAUGCCACAAAAAUGCAAAAUAAAUAGCAAAAACAAAAGCACCAAACUUAAUCCAUUCCAGAAGUCCAUUUGACUUCUGAAAUGUUCAAAAACCAAGGCGCAGCUUCUGACUGAUGCAGGCGCCCUGGAAACAAUAGCCGACAGCCGAAUCGGACGUUUGUCUUCCAAAAAACGUUCGAAAACCGGAACACUUACUUCCGGAUUUUUGGCGUUUGGGAAACAAAGUUUUUGAGUACCAAGGCGUUUGAGAACCAAGGUACCACUGUAUGCACGAUAGCAGUUGUUACGCUACAUAUUGCUUUGUGAUUUGUGUUCUGUUUUAUUGAAUUUGUAUGUAGCCAUUUUACUGUAUUUUAAAUUAUAUAUAUAUAUAUAUGUACAGUGGAGGGACGCGGGUGGCGCUGUGGGUUAAACCACAGAGCCUAGGACUUGCCAAUCAGAAGGUUGGCGGUUUGAAUCCCCGCGACAGGGUGAGCUCCCGUUGUUCGGUCCCUGCUCCUGCCAACCUAGCAGUUCGAAAGCACGUCAAAGUGCAAGUAGAUAAAUAGGUACCGCUCCGGCGGGAAGGUAAACGGCAUUUCCGUGUGCUGCUCUGGUUCGCCAGAAGCGGCUCAGUCAUGCUGGCCACAUGACCCGGAAGCUGUACGCCGGCUCCCUCAGCCAGUAAAGCGAGAUGAGCGCCGCAACCCCAGAGUCGGUGACGACUGGACCUAAUGGUCAGGGGUUCCUUUACCCUUUACCUUAUGUACAGUGGUACCUCGGGUUAAGUACUUAAUUCGUUCCGGAGGUCUGUUCUUAACCUGAAACUGUUCUUAACCUGAAGCACCACUUUAGCUAAUGGGGCCUCCUGCUGCUGCUGCGCCGCCGGAGCACGAUUUCUGUUCUUAUCCUGAAGCAAAAUUCUUAACCUGAAGCACUAUUUCUGGGUUAGCGGAGUCUGUAACCUGAAGUGUAUGUAACCUGAAGCGUAUGUAACCCGAGGUACCACUGUACUGCUGCUAAAGGGCACGCCUUUAUGUUCUUUGGCUUUAGAGGACUGUCCGAAACAUGUGCAAAGAACCUAAGCGUCCCUAAUCAUUACUUGGACAGAACGAGGAAAAUGCCACGUGGAACAAAUAGCCCCAGCAAAACUGAUUGAUUAAUCCAGGUUAAAAAGGAUUAGAAUAGACAGACUGGCAGACAUUUAGAUUAGGACAGAGUGGAUUAGCGCCAUGUUGCAGAUGGGAGCUGUCAGAGCGACAGGGAGAGAGAUAUGGAUAAAGCCACUUGCGAAAGGUCAGUCAGCCAAUCUGUUGGUUAGUCCAAAACUCCACGCUUUUACAGGCAUUGCGGGGGUGGGUAUUUAGGUAACGUUUAUGAUUUCCCUCCUCUGCGGUAUUGGCGCUCCUUGCCAACACUUUAAACCAGAAAUAAAAAUGCAAAUACCUCUUUGUAGUUUGUAAAGGAAACAGCUUGAUUAGUUUAUGGGUUUUUCUUUAUGGACACAUUCUACGUCUUUGUCUUAAAAGCAACUUUAUUGGGAGAAAACUAAUUAGAAAGGGACACAGACUAAGUCAACAACUGAGGCACAGAAGCUCAAAGCUCCGGGGGCUUUUCGAAAGAGGGUGGGGGGAGAGAGAAGGAAAAUGAGGAAACAGCUGGAUAAUCUGAUGCAUUAUUUUCCAUCACUAUAUACUGUUAUUUUAUCCACUCAAUAAAACUGCUCCCUGGGAACCCUUUAGAAUGUAAAUGAAACCAUUUAUUAAAGAGAUGCACUUCAGAAGAAAGAUCCUCCUGGGGUUUCCUUUUCCCUGCCCCACCCCCUUUGAUUUGGGUGGGGCACAAUUCUGAAUAAAUGCCCCAUCCAAUCCAUUCUUGAAUCCCAAAUCUAGGGCUCCCUCCUCUGUUUAGGGGUUCCCGUCAGAGACGUGGAACAGUCUCAGUGAGUACAAUACUAACAAAACAAACACAUUCCAAGAAAUACUCCAAGAAGGCUCACAUAACCAUAAAAUGAGGAUGUGUUUUAAUCUCUUAAGUCUGGAGCACAAAUUGAAGGAUAGACAUUGCCAACCAUAAAGGGGAGAGAAACGCUUGACUGACUAAGUCAAGUCGUUUGCGUGUGGAGACCCUGCAGCUACCCCCUCGUGGAAAUAACUCACACCAGGA